RNAcentral lists this ribosomal RNA (498 nucleotides) under Paenibacillaceae bacterium CL3.63. RNAcentral describes it as "bacterial SSU rRNA". It matches the Rfam family "Bacterial small subunit ribosomal RNA", at positions 23 to 498 of the family's 1533-position model. The record is from RNAcentral. Lineage: Bacteria; Bacillati; Bacillota; Bacilli; Caryophanales; Paenibacillaceae.
CUCAGGACGAACGCGGGCGGCGUGCCUAAUACAUGCAAGUCGAGCGGAGUUUGAAUGGAAGCUUGCUUCCAUUCUUACUUAGCGGCGGACGGGUGAGUAACACGUAGGCAACCUGCCCUCAAGACUGGGAUAACUACCGGAAACGGUAGCUAAUACCGGAUAAUUUCUUUCCUCUCCUGAAGAGAGAAUGAAAGGCGGAGCAAUCUGCCACUUGGGGAUGGGCCUGCGGCGCAUUAGCUAGUUGGUGGGGUAACGGCUCACCAAGGCGACGAUGCGUAGCCGACCUGAGAGGGUGAACGGCCACACUGGGACUGAGACACGGCCCAGACUCCUACGGGAGGCAGCAGUAGGGAAUCUUCCGCAAUGGGCGAAAGCCUGACGGAGCAACGCCGCGUGAGUGAUGAAGGUUUUCGGAUCGUAAAGCUCUGUUGCCAGGGAAGAACGUCCGGUAGAGUAACUGCUACCGGAGUGACGGUACCUGAGAAGAAAGCCCCGGCU